CCAUUUUUCCCAUCAAAACCCUGUGAACACUAGCUCAAAAUAAAUAAUUCAGGAUCAUUUGAGGGCUAUCUUAGCCAAAUCCGUCAUUGUACGAACUCAAACAAUGACUUUUCACCCAUUUCAAUUUUUGAUUUUAUUCUCUCAAUUCUGUAUUAAUCUCAGCUAUCAAGGAGUUUCCUAGCUAUUUCCUUUUGAAAUUUUUCCCACAUCAGUUCUAACGCAAUUUGCAAAUUCUACUUUAUCCCAUAUCGGUGGAAUGCACAAACAUCAUCCGAUUUCACACCAUAUAAACCACACUACUCCUUUGUUAAAAGGCAAAAACCCUAAUAGAAGGAAUUUCGCUCGAGAAGACAAAGUUUUUUCAACCCCAAACGAGAUAGAAUUCCUUUUACUCGGAUAGAAUUUUGGACUUUAGUCCCCAGCCAUAGCGUUGUGAAAAUUCUUGCUCAAGUUCCAUUUUUUGCUUUUCUUGCAUCAAGGAUAGUGGUAGAGUUGUCAUCUAUUUGUCAUCCCCGUUUAUUGCCCCAAUAAAGUGAGAUAUUAUUUUGGGAUCAUGGAGCAAAGACGAGCGGUUCAUGGAAGGUUUGGGAGUACGAUUCAACAUUGAGUGGAAGCCAAGAUGCAAGAGAACCAACAAGGACGAAAGCAAAAGAGUUAAAAUCUAAAGCAAAUAGAAAAGAAGUGUGGCUGAAGACAUUCCUGAUAAGUCAUCAACCUUGUGAUAAGCUAUUAGAGUUGCCAUCAACCUUAAACAGAGAAUGGACCCCAGUUGAAAGUUGUGACAAUAUUUGGUGAUAGGCCGUCAUAAGUGUGAUAAGACAUCAGGUUUGUUGUUAGCCUAAGGUAGAACAUGAGAGCUGAAGUGAAUAAUUAAUGAUAUCUAUGAUAAGUCAUCAAAGAGCUGAUAAGUCCUUAGGUUUCAUCGUCAGCCUUAAGCAGGAAGUGCUAAAACUGAAGAAGGAGCUGACGACAUUUAUGAUAAGUCGUCAGACUCCUGAUAAGGUCUCACGAAUGUUGUCAUCUAAUCCGAGAAAUUGCUGAACUCUGUGAUUUUAUUUCCAUAAUUAGGGUGAACUAUUUAAAGCAUAGUUUAGGGUUUUCUAAAGGAUUCCUGUAACGACCCGAUUUGCUGAACUGGAAUGCUACA
This is a long non-coding RNA of Capsicum annuum, 1147 nucleotides long. RefSeq lists it as uncharacterized. The transcript has 3 exons. The record is from RefSeq and is a predicted model, not a curated record. Lineage: Eukaryota; Viridiplantae; Streptophyta; Magnoliopsida; Solanales; Solanaceae.